RNAcentral lists this long non-coding RNA (4910 nucleotides) under Setaria italica (foxtail millet). RNAcentral's name for it is "long non-coding RNA (SITA_LNC006203)". The record is from RNAcentral. Lineage: Eukaryota; Viridiplantae; Streptophyta; Magnoliopsida; Poales; Poaceae.
UUCGGCCUACAAAUUUCCAGCACAUGUCAGCAACGAACAUUAUUUCAAAGAUUUCUUCUAUCAUUCUUCGAGCACCGGACAUUCCAUGGCCGAGACGCUCUAUCGAAUCCGAUACACUACCAAGGGAUAAAGCCCGGAGACUCUUUGGACUGGAAUAGUAAAGGCAUAAGGUGCGCCCAGCGUACUUGAAGAAUCCACGGAAGAACGCGAGCACCAUGGCAGCCCUGAGCCGGGCGUCCGGCCAAGAUGACUUGGACACCACGUACCCGGCCAUGGCCACCUGCGAGACCAAGCUCAGCAGAUGCCUCGUCCACAGCUCGUUGUCCUGUUUCGAGAAGGCAGUGAUGGUGUCCUGCCCCCCAAAGGUGGACUAGCACGAACGGCGCCCAGAAGAACAUGAGCUCGUGGCUCGGGCCCCUCACGUAGACCGCGAGGUGGCCAAGCACGAAGAUGGCCACAGUGUCGGCCGACAGGUAGGCCAGCCAUAGGGCCAUCAUAAUCACGCGCGACCCGCUCCGCCUCCGCAUAUCCGCUGUGAGGAAGAGGAAGACUUGUAGGAAGAGGCUCACAAGGAUCAGGCAGUGGAUCCCCCACUCGUCCCACAGUUCUUUGGCAUGCUCCAAAUCGACGCUGAAAAUCGAGUAGAGGAGUUAUUUACCCUUUUUUUUAACUACUCCCUCUAUCCUAAAAUAUAAAACACGGUCAAACUUGGCAGGUCUCCAAUUCUAGCAUUUUACUCUUAAUAUCUCCUAUACUAUAAUGGGAUGAAGGGAAUAUGUAAUUAAUUGCGUGGAGCAAACCAUACUAAAGCACUUGAAAUCAAUAAUUAAUUCAUGUUCGUGUGUUUCUCCGAUUAAAAAAACAUCAUCAUUAAUCCUGAUAUUUUCUGAACAUGAAAAUUAUAUUUAUCCUCUAAGAUAGUACCACAUUCUAUUACGUACAUAUUCCGAUUAAACAGUAACUGAAACAUCAAUGUCACGGGGUUAGGAUAGAAAAAUAAAAGGGGUGCUAUAGGGGUGUAAGAGCCUCAAUGGCGGCCUUCCUCCACCCCUCAAUGGCGCCACGAUAGUAUAAAAAAUAUGGCACCAGCAUAGCCCUACCACGGCCUCCUGGCCAUCUCUCCCAUUUUCAAGAGCAUUCUAGUAGAUAGAUAAAGAUGAGGAGUACACCGUUAUAUUGGCAUCAGAAAAAUAAAGAGAAGUCAACUUUGUUCCAUGUUACAAAUUACCGCUACUAUUGCAUAAAUAUUCCGAUCAAACAGUAACUGAAACAUCAGUGUUACGGGGUUAGGCUAGAAAAUAAAAGGAGGUGGUAUAGGGGUGUAAGAGCCUCAAUGGCAGCCUUCCUCCACCCCUCAAUGGCGCCACGAUAGUAUAAAAAAAAUGGCACCACUGUAGCGCUACCACAGCCUCCUGGCCAUCUCUCCCAUUUUCAAGAGCAUUCUAAUAAGAUGAGGAGGUCACCAUUAUAUUGGCAUCAGAAAAAUAAAGAAAACGUCAACUUUGUUCCAUGUUACAAAUUACCGCUACUGAAGUAUACUAUGUGCCUAUUCAAUUUAUUAACUUGCAUACAUAUUUUUAGUGCUACUUGGUAACAGGAAUUGGCACUGGUACACUAAAGUAUCAGGAUUUGUGUUUGUUACAAACUGGUACUGAUGAUGUGCGAACAGUAUAAAAAGGGUGUACACAUAUCCUCAGGUUUUAGUACUCCUACUUGGAAGAGAAAACUACUUGCAUAUAUGCUUUUGAAUUACUUCCAAAUUUGCAAUUAGAAUAUCUUAAGUUUGUUUCCGAAAUAACUUGCUUAUUUUAUUUGCUCUUAAAGAAACCCAUGCCUCUGCCCUAAAAAAAUGAAAUUCUUGUAUAUGCAUGUUUGUAUGGAAAAGUAACGAUAAGGCUCCAUUUGGGACGCAUUUUACGAGCUCUGGCUUGAGUUGUUUUUCACAAACCGAGACAUUGUAGUGCAAAACCAUUUCACAAAUUGAGACAAAAACAAACUAGAAGCUAGGUGAAGCUAAUUUUUUUGAGUUCACUGGUUUUGACUUUAGAAAUGCUCAAGAUCAUAAGAUCCUUCGUAUCGAAGUUUGAGGAUAAAAACUUCUUUGUCUCUUGCAGUAGACUGAUAUCACUGCUCGCAAGUAAGAUAUCAUCCACAUACAGAAUUAGGAAAAUGUAUUUCCUAUUUUUGAACUUUGCAUAGACACAAUUGUCCUCUGUAUUCUCUUGAAACCCAAAUUUCUUAAUUAUAUCAUUAAACUUUAGAUACUAUUGUCUAAAGGCUUCCUUUAAUCCAUAAAUGGAUUUCUUUAGACGACAUCCCAUAUUCUCUUUGCCUUCCAUGAUAAAACCCUUAGGUUGUUUCAUGUAGACAUUUUCUUCUAAAUCCCCAUUUAGAAAUGCCGUCUUUACAUCCAUCUGAUGUAACUCUAAGUCAAAAUGUGCAACCAAUGCCAUUAUGAUUCUGAAGGAGUCUUUACAUGAGAUAGGAGAAAAAGUCUUAUUGUAAUCUAUUCCUUCUCUUUGUGUAAAGCCUUUUGCCACAAGUCUCGCCUUAUACCUUUCUAUAUUCCCUUUGGAGUCACAUUUCGUCUUGUAGACCCAUUUACAGCCUACUGUUUUGGCUCCUUUAGGAAUUUCUUCAAGUUCCCAAACUUUGUUGGAACUCAUCGAUUUCAUCUCAUCUUCCAUGGCCUCUAGCCACUUUGAUGAGUGAACAUUUUUCAUGGCUUCCUCAUAUGAAGUGGGAUCACCUUCUAUAUGAACUUCUUCUGUAUUAUAAAUUUUAUAGUCAUCAGAAAUAGCUGAUCUUCUGACUCUUUGAGACCUUCUAGGCCCCUCACUUUCGGGCACAUUCUGUGCCUCUGCUUGUGGCACAUCAUCCAGAGGUGGCUGCUGCAACUCUUCCUCGUGUGUAAUGAUGGGUUCAAUUGGCUCCUGAAGGACAGGUUCCAAAAAGUCACUCAUCGUUUCCACGGGUGGAAUCACAACACACAAAUGUCACGUGCAUGUCUAUUCCUUCGGUACAAGCGACAGAAAAUUGGGAAUUUAUUACAAGCAUUGUUACACAAUAACUAUGUAAUAUAUGUAUGUAUGAUAAUGAUCGGAUUGUCGUCACUAAGCACCAGGAUCUGGCAUAAAAGGGCCUAGAAGACGCAUGAGAAGGAGAACAUGAGAGAUGAAUUCCCCCCCGGUGCUGAGAUGCUCGUAGUGGAAAGCUGCCCCGCAACGAGGCGCCGUGUAGAAAAGCACCUCCAGCCACACCUCCGAGAUGAGGUCCCAGCGGGAAGCUUCGUCAUCGAUGGCCAUUAGCUCCUGGGCCACUGCAUGGGCACGAGACAGCACUGGAGCGUACAUAGCUUCUUCCGUCCACCGCAGAAGUUCCUGCGACCGACUGGUGGUAGCAGCAGCAUCCUUGCUGGCCGGUUCUUCAUUCUUGUCAUGGUGAGCCACCUCCUGCAUCGAGCCUUGCUGCUGCUGUUCUUCUUUCUUCAUAGCCUCAAGCACCUCCAUGAUAGCCAUAGCCAUAGCCUCCUCCUCACGUGCAAUCCCGCCAAGCCGUGAACUGAUGAAAUUGAGCCCUCCAUGAGCUUCCUCAUGUGCAAUCCGGGAGAUGCUUGUGAGCAUCACAUCGCACUUGAACACAAGGUACAUGAUAUAAAGAGACAGCUCUCUGCUCAUCAUCUUCUUCUUCUUCGCUUCGUCAGGUUCUGUAUCACGGCCUUUAUCCUCAGAGAAGUAGCAGAUGUCCGUUGCGAUGUGCAAGAUGAGGACACUUCUCGGGAAUUCAACUCUGCUGCUGACGCUCAUGUGCAGUGCAGCAUAGCCUGACCUUCCAGGUUCUGGAACUUGAUGGCUGCCCAUCCACUUCUCAAGUGCUCGCUCACCACGGAAGCUGGCAAUAUCCCACUCUUGUCUACUUGCUUGCAACAAUAACUUGUCGAGGACGAGCAACUUGAGAUCAUCAGUAACAGGUGUGCGUGUCGUGUCAAAGAACUCGACACACCAAGCACCGAAGCAUUUACCGGUCCAUUUCCGUAAGGAUGGCAUGCAUGCGUUACUAGUGUUGUAUCUACUUAUCAUGCUGUAUUGUGCUAGCUCUUCUGACCACUGUUUUGUUGUUUGCCAGCCUUCAGGAGCGAGGCAGCUGGCAAGACACAAGCAUGCCCAUUCACCUGCCGUUCCCGGACGGAAUGGUUCUCUCGUAUGGGAAACAAUGGACGUGAAGACAGGCAGCAGAUCAAGGACUAUGGCUCCUACAAGCAAUACGUAGGACACGAUGAUAUCCGCUUGACUAUAGUGUCUCUUCUUUUCGGCAGCUGCAAAGAGCACCAGGGCUAUGGCAGUUGACAGAUACUUGAAGAGGAUGUGUAUCAGGAAGCUGAGGAUAAUGGAUAGUUGACAGUUUUGGUGCCGAUCUUUAACAUCUAGAAGAUAAAAAGCAUAAAUAGGAAGCACAGUUUUGGUGUAUAGAGCUUUGUAGGAUUCUACCAGAAGUGCGGCCACGUACUGAUAGGUUAUGCACCGGUCUGGGCGAUUCUUAAACUCCUCCAGCAUGUCCGGUAGCUCGUCGGCAGCUAUGAUGAGCCACUCGUCAUUGACCACAGCAUCCACUGACAUGAUCUGCAUGUGAUCUGGAUAGGCAUGAUCGGUACUUUCGCCUACAAAUUUCCAGCACAUGUCAGCAACGAACAUUAUUUCAAACCUUUCUUUUAUUUUUGCUCUGGAUGUCACUUUUUCCCGCAGACUCCUUAUCGUUUCUGACAAAUGACCAAGGGAUGAAGCCCGGAGACUCUUUGGACUGGAAUAGUAAAGGCAUAAGGUGCGCCCAGCGUACUUGAAGAAUCCACGGAGGAACAUGAGCACCAUGGCAGCCCUGAGCCGGGCGUCCGGCCAAGAUGACUUGGACACCAC